Molecule: long non-coding RNA, 416 nt
Organism: Acanthopagrus latus (yellowfin seabream)
Lineage: Eukaryota; Metazoa; Chordata; Actinopteri; Spariformes; Sparidae
Exons: 2
Source: RefSeq, a predicted model, not a curated record
CAGAACCAGUAGCAGAGCCCCGUGCUGUUCAGCCAUGUCAACAUGGUGACCUGGGAAAACACAGUCAGAGCAGAUAAGAUUCAGUGCGUAACAAAGUCUAAGACACUACAGGUGAAGAUCGUAAUGUAAUAUGAGCGGCAGGGUACACCCUGGACAAGUUGCCAGCUCAUCACGAUUUCCCUCACUGGUGGCAGAAGCUGCCAUGCAAGGUGCCAACUGCACAUCAGGAGAAAUUUGAGGUUCAGCACCUUGCUCAAGGACACUACAACAUGUAGCUCAGCUCAGCCCGGAGAUGGGAUUUGAACCAGCGACCUUCUGAUCACUAGCUCACCUGUGCUACCCGUUACAACCGCCCUUUAAUCAACCCAUAAAUCAAAAAAUAAUGUAAAGAGAAUUAAAAAAUGCUCCAAUCCUCA